AGAGUUUGAUCCUGGCUCAGAACGAACGCUGGCGGCAGGCCUAACACAUGCAAGUCGAGCGCUUCACUUCGGUGAGGAGCGGCGGACGGGUUAGUAACGCGUGGGAAUAUACCCUUCUCUACGGAAUAGCCUCGGGAAACUGAGAGUAAUACCGUAUAAGCCCUUUUGGGGAAAGAUUUAUCGGUGAAGGAUUAGCCCGCGUAAGAUUAGAUAGUUGGUGGGGUAAUGGCCUACCAAGUCUACGAUCUUUAGCUGGUUUGAGAGGAUGAUCAGCAACACUGGGACUGAGACACGGCCCAGACUCCUACGGGAGGCAGCAGUGGGGAAUCUUAGACAAUGGGCGCAAGCCUGAUCUAGCCAUGCCGCGUGAGUGACGAAGGUCUUAGGAUCGUAAAGCUCUUUCGCCAGAGAUGAUAAUGACAGUAUCUGGUAAAGAAACCCCGGCUAACUCCGUGCCAGCAGCCGCGGUAAUACGGAGGGGGUUAGCGUUGUUCGGAAUUACUGGGCGUAAAGCGUACGUAGGCGGAUUGGAAAGUAGGGGGUGAAAUCCCAGGGCUCAACCCUGGAACUGCCUCCUAAACUAUCAGUCUAGAGUUCGAGAGAGGUGAGUGGAAUUCCAAGUGUAGAGGUGAAAUUCGUAGAUAUUUGGAGGAACACCAGUGGCGAAGGCGGCUCACUGGCUCGAUACUGACGCUGAGGUACGAAAGUGUGGGGAGCAAACAGGAUUAGAUACCCUGGUAGUCCACACCGUAAACGAUGAAUGCCAGUCGUCGGGGA
This 777-nucleotide ribosomal RNA is filed under the name uncultured bacterium. Its description in RNAcentral is "bacterial SSU rRNA". It matches the Rfam family "Bacterial small subunit ribosomal RNA", at positions 8 to 829 of the family's 1533-position model. The record is from RNAcentral.